GAAUGCGCUGGCAGUCUGGCUACAACAUACCCUUCUGAUCGCCAGGGUUGACAUAGCGGGCUGGGCAAGUGUUCUCUCCCUCCCUUGCUGUUCCAGGCAUGUCCCUCCUGAAGCUGGGAGCUUGAUCCAAAAGGAAAACAUUCCCUGGUAGAGAAGGAGCAAUCUUUGAUCAAGAAUAUAUGAGUAACUACUCUAGAACCUCCAAACAAGGACUCUAGAAAACCUUAGAGACUGAAGAGGUGUCUCAGUAGUCAGGAGCUUGUACUGAUUUUCCAGUGGAACCAAGUUCAGUUCCCA
Cricetulus griseus (Chinese hamster) is the source of this 297-nucleotide unclassified non-coding RNA. Its record names the gene 7SK. It matches the Rfam family "7SK RNA". From Rfam's summary of the family: 7SK was discovered as an abundant small nuclear RNA in the mid-70s but a possible function has only recently been suggested. Two independent studies have found that 7SK RNA binds the CDK9/cyclin T complex (known as elongation factor P-TEFb). P-TEFb activates transcription by phosphorylating the C-terminal domain of RNA polymerase II. The record is from Ensembl. NCBI's taxonomy places the organism in Eukaryota, Metazoa, Chordata, Mammalia, Rodentia, Cricetidae.